Long non-coding RNA from Triticum dicoccoides, 946 nucleotides. RefSeq lists it as uncharacterized. The transcript is spliced from 5 exons. Lineage: Eukaryota; Viridiplantae; Streptophyta; Magnoliopsida; Poales; Poaceae. The record is from RefSeq and is a predicted model, not a curated record.
UGCAAGUUGGCCAUGCUGGUACUCUGGACCCUAUGGCCACUGGAUUGUUGAUUGUUUGUGUGGGCAAAGCAACCAAAGUUGUUGAUAGAUAUCAAGGCAUGUUUAAAGGCUAUAGUGGUGUUUUCCGGCUUGGGGAAGCAACAUCAACCUGGGAUGCAAAUUCACCAGAGUGUAGCAGCCUCGACGCAGCGACUGAGUCACUCCUGAAUGUGCGGAGAAGCAGUGCCGCCUAGCCGGCGAAGUGGCUGAUAGCGGGAAGUCUGCCAUCGAUCACAGCAAUAUCCACAGUCGAGAAGCAGAGUAUGCUUCCUGUUCCGAUGCUGAGAUCUCAGUUCGCCGCCGCCGCUCCCUCUGUCCUUCAUCAGUCCCUCCUUCCUCAAGGCCGACGCCUCCCCGGACGAAGCGGGCGGUUGCCCUCCUUGAAUUCAACACUGACCGUCCCGUGCCUUUUUCCUCCGUUUACCCGGGGCUGUGGGGGCUUCAUGCAGUGAGAGCUCGGUGUCGUGUCCGCCUGCUGAACGGCAAGCUGGAGCUGCAGGUCGCUGAACAAGGUGGUCCUACUGUGAGGAUCUCAUCUCUCACUCUAUGUGUGUAUCCCUCAGUCCCGUUCCCCUUUAUGAUGAAGCCCAUCCAUUUGUCUAUUCUUCGUCAGGGUCACAAAGUCUGUGCCAGGAUUCUUUCCUUUAUAAAUAUGAAAGCGGGUUGUACGAUCUAUUCACAGACUUGCUCGACUGCUUUGUAGCCCAACUGAUUAUGUACUCUUGAUCGUCCUGAUGGAAUCUAUCAACUCCAUUGUGAAUCAUCUCUUUAUAUUAAGCCAGUACUCGCUAUGCUAGAAUGAUAGAUGAUAUAGUAAAUACAUCUUUUCUUUUUACAAGGCUCAUAUCAUAAGGAAUGUCGUGUCCUGUGAACCAAGUUCAGUACAUUGUCUAUUAAAUAUAUUCCU